GGCGCGAGGUGGGGAGCGGCGCUGUGCAGAAGCGCUGCUCUCUUAAAUCAGGCCGUGGUCUGUAGGUGCAGCCCCGCUGCCACCGUGGGCACAAGAGGCAUACGGUGUGUCCCGGCGUUCGUUCUGCACUGCAGCAUUUAGAGUGGGAUGGCGGCAUGGAGCAGAGGCAGAUAGCGCAUCAUCUCAGCAGUGCAGACAAGGCCGCAGAGAUUCGUUGCCCGCAGGAGUCAUCGGGGUCUGCCAUCACGUUGCGUUUCGUCUCAACAAUUCACAGCCGUUCUGUAUUUCCACCUUCACAUGUUACUUCCCGGGGGUAUUCACGUGAGAAGCAGCAUGCCACAGCUGAAGAAAAUGAGGUCCAGAAAAGGAAGCACGUGGGGGACAGAGAGAUGCUGGCCAGCAGGAGCAGCACCAGGUCCUAACUGCUGUCACCCUCUUUGGGCACCCAAAAAAAGAUGAGUCUUAAGGAGGGGGAGAAUUAUACGUAAUUUCA
RNAcentral lists this long non-coding RNA (493 nucleotides) under Gallus gallus (chicken). Its description in RNAcentral is "long non-coding RNA NONGGAT008992". Lineage: Eukaryota; Metazoa; Chordata; Aves; Galliformes; Phasianidae. The record is from RNAcentral.